Molecule: long non-coding RNA, 695 nt
Organism: Salvelinus sp. IW2-2015
Lineage: Eukaryota; Metazoa; Chordata; Actinopteri; Salmoniformes; Salmonidae
Source: RefSeq, a predicted model, not a curated record
CCAGUGACUUUAACUUGUGGCCACAGUUAUUGUAUGAAAUGUUUAGAGGAUUGUCUACGUGGACAAGCGAAGACGAAGAAGGAUUGUCCCGAUUGCAGAGGAAAAAUUCGACCAGGUUUUAAACUGCAUAAAAAUGUUACACUUUGUAACAUCGUGAAUGUUCAUUACGAACAUAAACGUUUUGUAUCCACUGAAGAAUUUACAAAUGCACAUGAAAUGGAAGCGGACUUCAAAGAGGAUAAAGCUGAAGAAUGUGUGGCCUCACACUCACAACAGACUGAUAUCAACAGACAAUUUGAGCUGGGAAGUACUAUUCAACAGCAACAGAUGGAGGACCCUGUUGUMAUAAAUGACACAAGCUCAGAAGUGACAGAUGACAGGUGUCCUGAUGUCCCAGCCUCCCAUGAUGGUCGUGUUCAGGAGUUACCCAUCUCCCCUCCCUCAAAUGACAGACACAGGGCUGAAGGUAGACUGUAGAAUUUGUCCUAUUCUUGAGUCUCAUGUGAAUAUUACUCCUUAUAUUGUACUGAAUARUGUAAAUAUAAUGUGCUGUUUUCACCAAUCAACCACUAGAUGGGGUAGCCUAUAUACAGUAUAGCCAUUCAAAGACAUCUGUGUCAUUAGAGUACAUCAGAUACCAGUGGUGUAAAGUACUUGAAUACAAAUACUUUAAAGUACUACUUAAGUAGUUUUGG